GCUUAGAAUACAUUUUAAAAUGCAAUAAAGUAGAUAGGAUUUUAUUAUGCAAGGGGCAAAGUUGUAUACAACACUCCCCACAGUCUCCCGGAGGCUGUUGAGAGCAAGGAGUGCCUGAACUGCAGCUGGCAGUAUUCAGCUGACCAAGGCAGGGCAGAAGACAGGGCUGCUAGUAUUUAUUCAAGGCAUAACCAGCCCAGGGGCUUCGGCCUGCCAGUCAUCACAAGGCCCAAUGUGGUACACACCCUUCUUCCCAGGUGCCAAGGGGAGGCAGUGGUCGUAGGUGGGACAACACAAAACCACGCGGCUACAGGAGAAGUCAAGUGGCAAGGAUGCUUCCAAGGGGAGGGGCUAUGCCCUGCCUGGGUAUAAAUGGUGUUAAGUGGG
Non-coding RNA from Podarcis lilfordi (Lilford's wall lizard), 387 nucleotides. NCBI's taxonomy places the organism in Eukaryota, Metazoa, Chordata, Lepidosauria, Squamata, Lacertidae. The record is from the annotation of a GenBank genome assembly.